GAUGAACGCUGGCGGCGUGCCUAAUACAUGCAAGUCGAGCGAACAGACGAGGAGCUUGCUCCUCUGACGUUAGCGGCGGACGUGUGAGUAACACGUGGAUAACCUACCUAUAAGACUGGGAUAACUUCGGGAAACCGGAGCUAAUACCGGAUAAUAUAUUGAACCGCAUGGUUCAAUAGUGAAAGACGGUUUUGCUGUCACUUAUAGAUGGAUCCGCGCCGCAUUAGCUAGUUGGUAAGGUAACGGCUUACCAAGGCAACGAUGCGUAGCCGACCUGAGAGGGUGAUCGGCCACACUGGAACUGAGACACGGUCCAGACUCCUACGGGAGGCAGCAGUAGGGAAUCUUCCGCAAUGGGCGAAAGCAUGACGGAGCAACGCCGCGUGAGUGAUGAAGGUCUUCGGAUCGUAAAACUCUGUUAUUAGGGAAGAACAAAUGUGUAAGUAACUAUGCACGUCUUGACGGUACCUAAUCAGAAAGCCACGGCUAACUACGUG
Molecule: ribosomal RNA, 497 nt
Filed under: uncultured bacterium
Lineage: Bacteria
Description: partial 16S ribosomal RNA
Rfam family: Bacterial small subunit ribosomal RNA
Source: RNAcentral